Molecule: long non-coding RNA, 212 nt
Filed under: Linum usitatissimum (flax)
Lineage: Eukaryota; Viridiplantae; Streptophyta; Magnoliopsida; Malpighiales; Linaceae
Description: long non-coding RNA (LUSI_LNC000135)
Source: RNAcentral
CAGGUUUUGGCAACGUUUGGGCCGUAAAUCCACUGGCAUUUGGGGUUCUUGCAGCCGAUGAGCUUGGCGGUGGAGGAUUUCUUAGGGAUGAAUGUGGUAAUGUUGGUUGGAUCGACGUUGCGGAAGUUGCAGCGGGAACAGAGGUAGCGGGAUGUGCAGGGGAACCAGACGAGGGUGCUUCCGGUGUCCAUGACGAACUUGGUGGUCUGCGG